This 775-nucleotide ribosomal RNA is filed under the name uncultured Neocallimastigales. Its description in RNAcentral is "partial large subunit ribosomal RNA". It matches the Rfam family "Eukaryotic large subunit ribosomal RNA", at positions 18 to 622 of the family's 3401-position model. Lineage: Eukaryota; Fungi; Neocallimastigomycota; Neocallimastigomycetes; Neocallimastigales. The record is from RNAcentral.
UUCAGACGAUGCGUCAUGCAUAUCAAUAAGCGGAGGAAAAGAAACUAACAAGGAUUCCCUUAGUAACGGCGAGUGAAGCGGGAAGAGCUCAAAUUUGAAAUCUUCAAGGUUUUACCUUGACGAAUUGUAGUUUAAAGAAGUGUUUUCUGCUGAAGUUUUGGUAAAAGUUCUUUGGAAUAGGACAUCAUAGAGGGUGAGAAUCCCGUAUUUGACCAUUAUUUUCAGCUUUGUGAUACACUUUCAAAGAGUCGGAUUGUUUGGGAAUGCAGUCCGAAAUGGGUGGUAAAUUUCAUCUAAAGCUAAAUAUUGGCGAGAGACCGAUAGCGAACAAGUACCGUGAGGGAAAGAUGAAAAGAACUUUGAAAAGAGAGUUAAACAGUACGUGAAAUUGUCAAAAGGGAAGCGUUUGACACCAGUGUUGUUUUCUCGAAAAUCAAUUAAAAAGAGUUAGAUUUUGUUGUGUAUUGACCUUAACAGCUUGCAUUUCAAUUUUCUUGCUUUUUUUAAUGCACUUUUCGUUUAACAAGUCAACAUCAGUUUCUUUUGUUGUAAAAAGGUCAUUGGAAGGUGGCUUUCUUUUCGGAGAAAGUGUUUAUAGCCUUUGACUCCUGCAAUCGGAGAGACUGAGGUCUGCAGCGUAGAUCCUUCGGGGUUAGAUACAUUUGUGCUAAGUUAUAGCUUUUUAUAGACAACUUGUUGACUAUGAUUAGUCUUGUAGCUUACUCGCUUAUGCUAUUUUACCUACGCUUAGGAUGUUGAGUCGUAGAGCACGCAG